CCGCCGCGGUAACCCAGCGCCCCAAGUGGCAACCGCGAUUAUUGGGCCUAAAGCGUUCGUAGCCGGCUGAGUGAAUCUUUUGUGAAAUUGUCAAGCUUAACUUGAUAGCGCGCAGGAGAGACUGCUCAGCUAGGGACCGGGAGGAGUUAGAAGUAUUCCGGGGGGAGCGGUAAAAUGUUAUAAUCCUCGGAAGACUACCUGUGGCGAAAGCGUCUAACCAGAACGGAUCCGACGGUCAGGAACGAAAGCCAGGGGAGCAAAACGGAUUAGAUACCCGAGUAGCCCUGGCUGUAAACUCUGUAAGCAAGGUGUUGCAUAUUCUACAUGAAUGUGCAGUACCGAAACGAAGGUGUUAAGCUCACCGCCUGGGAAGUACGGUCGCAAGACUGAAACUUAAAGGAAUUGGCGGGGGAGCACUACAAGGGGUGCGGCGUGCGGUUUAAUCUAAUUCCACACAGAGAAUCUCACCAGGAGCGACGGCAGAAUGAAAGUCAUGCUGAAGACAUUACUUGACGAGCCGAGAGGUAGUGCAUGGCCGCCGUCAGCUCGUGCCGUAAGGUGUCCUGUUAAGUCAGGCAACGAGCAAGACCUGUAUCCACAAUUGCUAUCGGAUCCUCUAGGAUGACUGGGCACUUUGUGGGGACUGCCUCGGAAACGAGGAGGAAGGCUCAGAACCGAGGAGGAAGGUGCAGGCAACGGUAGGUCUGUAUGCUCCGAAUCUCCUGGGCUACACGCGCGCAACAAUGGUAGGGACAAUGGGAUACGACUCCGAAAGGAGAAGUUAAUCCUCGAAACCCUAUCCAAGUCCGGAUGAGGAUGUAACUCAUCCUCGAGGGGAUGGAUCCCUAGUAAUGAGACGUCAUCAGCGUCCCGUGAAUAUGUCCCUGCUC
Molecule: ribosomal RNA, 890 nt
Filed under: uncultured archaeon
Lineage: Archaea
Description: bacterial SSU rRNA
Rfam family: Archaeal small subunit ribosomal RNA
Source: RNAcentral